AGUGUAGGGUUCCUAGCGAGCCCAACCUCCCACCCGUGUUUACUGUACCUUAGUUGCUUCGGCGGGCCCGCCAUUCAUGGCCGCCGGGGGCUCUCAGCCCCGGGCCCGCGCCCGCCGGAGACACCACGAACUCUGUCUGAUCUAGUGAAGUCUGAGUUGAUUGUAUCGCAAUCAGUUAAAACUUUCAACAAUGGAUCUCUUGGUUCCGGCAUCGAUGAAGAACGCAGCGAAAUGCGAUAACUAGUGUGAAUUGCAGAAUUCCGUGAAUCAUCGAGUCUUUGAACGCACAUUGCGCCCCCUGGUAUUCCGGGGGGCAUGCCUGUCCGAGCGUCAUUGCUGCCCAUCAAGCACGGCUUGUGUGUUGGGUCGUCGUCCCCUCUCCGGGGGGGACGGGCCCCAAAGGCAGCGGCGGCACCGCGUCCGAUCCUCGAGCGUAUGGGGCUUUGUCACCCGCUCUGUAGGCCCGGCCGGCGCUUGCCGAACGCAAAUCAAUCUUUUUCCAGGUUGACCUCGGAUCAGGUAGGGAUACCCGCUGAACUUAAGCAUA
Molecule: ribosomal RNA, 547 nt
Filed under: Aspergillus flavus
Lineage: Eukaryota; Fungi; Ascomycota; Eurotiomycetes; Eurotiales; Aspergillaceae
Description: eukaryotic LSU rRNA
Rfam family: 5.8S ribosomal RNA (bases 180-333)
Source: RNAcentral